This 87-nucleotide transfer RNA is filed under the name Planctomycetales bacterium 10988. It matches the Rfam family "tRNA". From Rfam's summary of the family: Transfer RNA (tRNA) molecules are approximately 80 nucleotides in length. Their secondary structure includes four short double-helical elements and three loops (D, anti-codon, and T loops). Lineage: Bacteria; Pseudomonadati; Planctomycetota; Planctomycetia; Planctomycetales. The record is from Rfam by way of RNAcentral.
GGAUGGGUGGCCGAGUGGUCGAAGGCGACGGUCUUGAAAACCGUUGACGUUUAACAGCGUCCGGGGGUUCGAAUCCCUCCCCAUCCG